AACAGGCAAAAAUGAAUAUGCUCUUUCUUGUGCUGAAAACUACAGACCAACCUCUUCAGUAGAAUCCACUUCUCAAUCCCCCAUUGUACGGAACACAGAUCGCCGGCGACCGCCCCGAUUUACUUUCCUUUAUUCACAUAAUGUCAUGGCUGGCCCGAUCCAUAGCAAACUCUCUCAACUUCGACGACCACGGUGACGGUGACGAUGCUACGCAGCCCGAAGCUAAGCUGCCCGAUAACUCUGGAUCCGAUGACGACGAGGUGUCCUCACCUACGACGCCGUCUCGCGGCGUCAAAGAGGAUCUCUCGGAGAUCAGUAAAACCCUAACCCGCCAGUUUUGGGGCGUAGCUUCAUUCCUGGCCCCUCCUCCGCAAGCUGAGGUGAAGACCGGCGACGAUUUACUGGAUUCGGAGCAGGAUCCGAUGUUGAAGAUCCGAGAUGAUUUCGCGGAGAUUGGGGGCAAGUUUAAAAGCGGGAUUUCGCGGCUGUCUAACAAUAUCAAUGUUUCUGAAAUCACUAAAUUGGCUUCGAAUUUCCUGCAAUUGGAUGAUGACAGAGAGAAGCAGGAUGUCAUCGGUUCCUUGGGGGAUGGAACUGCUAUUGGUGUUACUGAGGAAGUGGUGGCUUUCGCGCGUGACGUCGCUAUGCAUCCGGAGACUUGGAUGGAUUUCCCAUUACCUCCAGAUGAUGAAGAUGAUGACGAUUUUGAUUUGUCGGAUGCCCAACAAGAACAUGCUUUAGCAGUUGAACGAUUUGCCCCAAGGUUAGCUGCACUAAGGAUUGAGCUCUGCCCUGGAUACAUGACUGAAAGCUGUUUUUGGAAGAUUUACUUUGUGCUUGUUCACCCUAGACUGGAUAAGAAUGAUGCUGUACUUCUGUCAACACCACAGAUUCUGGAAGCCAGGGCCCUAUUGACACCUGAAUUGAAGAAGCGAAAUUCAACUAAUACUGAAAACUUACCUGGGAAAAUUUCUUUGAAGCCAGAGGAGACUGAUUCUUCUCACUAUGAAGAGCCCCUUUUGGCGCCAUUCCCUGAAACUGUAUCUGAAAAGGCAUCUAUAGUGAACACUGGGACUUCAACAGCUCCAGAUACUAAAACAGUUGCAUCCUCAGCAGGCAGUACUCGAAUCCAAAUUGUUGACAAGACUGUCACUGAAGAAAAGCCUGACGAGCAAGGUAAAGAUCAGCAUUCGGGAUCUAGCUCUUUGGAUGUUUCCGGAGACAAGGAUGAAGAUGAUGCAGAUGACUGGUUAAAGGUGUUGGAAAUCGAGAUCGGAGCAAAGUCGAAACGGAAACAAGAACACGAGAGAUUUAACGUGGUUCGGCGUAAGCCUACAUCCACGGGAGAGUAACGGAUCGAUUUACUUCAAUCACGAUCAAGAACUACAAUCAUACAACAAGAUCACACACUCAAGAACAAGCUACUCUCUCUUCGCAUAUGAACUCACAUCAAACCGAAGACUAUACAAGCUAGUUCCUCACAAAGAUAGUGUGUAUCUCUCUCUCUAGCUAUUGAUUGUUGUUAUGAUCUCUCAGCUGAUUUCUCUCUCUCGUUUCUUCUCUCAGAACCUGGAGAUAUUCUCUCACUGAUCUAUGCGGCUUGCAUGAGCAUUUAUAGGAAUCGCAUCACCUCAUGCAGUUGCAACUGCCGCUGUAGCCGUUGCACAACUAAAUCUUGAACUCUUUCUUCUUGAUCAUGUGUUGCACACUCCACGCUCGGUUCCGAUGUACCAUCACUCGUUGUUAUCAUCACAAAAUUCCUAACAAUCCUCCACCUUUUGAGAUGAUACAACACAUCUUUCGAUCACUUUGUUCUUUGUUGAUCUCAUGUCCGAGUAGCGCCAAUCUUGACUAUUAUUGUCAGCAUCCUGACUCCGAGAAUCAUACCCAGAUCCUCCUUUAUCACUUCCUUGAUCAGCCACAACGCCCCCACCGGACGAUCGCCUCCACCGGACGACAAAACCUCCACCUAAUCUGAAUCUUCCCCGAUUCAGAAUUGGAGUUGCUGAUCCCUAGAGAUAUCACACAUCUCUCAUAAGUGAUAACCAAAUUUCUGUCAAGAUUAUGCCACCUUCACCGCUUAGGAUGACACGGCUGUUGCACCUCUCUCACGGACAAUUCAACAAACAAGGCUUCACAGCCUCCUCCAGAUCGCAUUCCCGCGAGCAUCCAUUGAUCGGCGUGUUGUACGUGAUGAUGUCUGGCCUUAUCCCCGAUCUCCUCACUUCACCAAGAAGCUCAACCUCGGAGACUCAACAACUGAAAACAGCUCACUGACUAAAAACUUCUCUCAGACAUUUCGUCGAACACGCUCUGCUCGAAUUGCCGAGCUUGGUGCCGAACUGCCGAACUGCCGAGCUUAGUACCGAACUGCCGAGCUUGGUACCGAACUGCCGAGCUUGGUGCCGAACUGCUGAGCUUGGUGCCGAACUGCUGAGCUUGGUGCCGAACUGCCGAGCUUGGUGUCAGCCACUAAAUCCAACGCCCUUCUCGGCAUCCAAGCAAUCAGUGUUCCAGCAUACCUUUUCUCUCACAGGCAUUCGUCAAUUUACUUCUCUUUCAGGCAUUUCGUCGAACACCAUCUUUGCACCAUCCAAGAUGUCUCACCAUCGUCGUCUGCCUCUGAAGCAUCAUCUCAUCAAGGCUCUCAUGGCCUUCAAUAUCCAUCAACAUCAUCAUAGGCUUCGGAAAUGAGUUGCAUAUCGCCAUACUCGAUCCCAUUAUGGAUCAUCAGUAUGAGCAACGAUCAUUGAGCGAGCUACACCAACGAUCACCAAGAACUUCCCUCUUUCUUGAUCGAUGAACCUUCGAGCUCUCUCCACAAUGAAUCGCCAAUGCAGAAAACUUCUCAACAAUAUCGCUCAAAGCUGCACGAACCAAAACUGACCACACCGUCGUCCCCUUCAACUGACGUGAUCAAGAACUCAAUCUCCUUCUCCAAAACCGCUGCAUUCGAGACGCUACUUUCAGCAUCUCCCUUCGUUCUUCAUCUCCGACUUCUUCCAACGAUUCUCCUCCUUCCCACAGACGGCGCCACUUGUUGGGAAUCGAGAUCGGAGCAAAGUCGAAACGGAAACAAGAACACGAGAGAUUUAACGUGGUUCGGCGUAAGCCUACAUCCACGGGAGAGUAACGGAUCGAUUUACUUCAAUCACGAUCAAGAACUACAAUCAUACAACAAGAUCACACACUCAAGAACAAGCUACUCUCUCUUCGCAUAUGAACUCACAUCAAACCGAAGACUAUACAAGCUAGUUCCUCACAAAGAUAAACCUGGAGAUAUUCUCUCACUGAUCUAUGCGGCUUGCAUGAGCAUUUAUAGGAAUCGCAUCACCUCAUGCAGUUGCAACUGCCGCUGUAGCCGUUGCACAACUAAAUCUUGAACUCUUUCUUCUUGAUCAUGUGUUGCACACUCCACGCUCGGUUCCGAUGUACCAUCACUCGUUGUUAUCAUCACAAAAUUCCUAACAAAAGGAAGAAACAGAAACUGGUGAUGCUGUGGGAAAGACUAUUCCCAUCGAGAAUGAUGACGACGUAUCAUUUAGUGAUCUUGAGGAUGACGAUGCAGAUGUCCCUACAAGUUACAGAAAGUCAAAUGAU
RNA transcript from Salvia splendens (bonfire salvia), 3600 nucleotides. RefSeq lists it as uncharacterized. Lineage: Eukaryota; Viridiplantae; Streptophyta; Magnoliopsida; Lamiales; Lamiaceae. The transcript is spliced from 4 exons. The record is from RefSeq and is a predicted model, not a curated record.